UACGUAGGGGGCAAGCGUUGUCCGGAUUUAUUGGGCGUAAAGAGCGUGUAGGCGGCUAGAUAGGUCCGUUGUGAAAACUCGAGGCUCAACCUCGAGACGUCGAUGGAAACCAUCUGGCUAGAGUCCGGAAGAGGAGUGUGGAAUUCCUGGUGUAGCGGUGAAAUGCGCAGAUAUCAGGAAGAACACCUAUGGCGAAGGCAGCACUCUGGGACGGUACUGACGCUGAGACGCGAAAGCGUGGGGAGCGAACAGG
RNAcentral lists this ribosomal RNA (253 nucleotides) under uncultured bacterium. RNAcentral's name for it is "partial 16S ribosomal RNA". It matches the Rfam family "Bacterial small subunit ribosomal RNA", at positions 524 to 776 of the family's 1533-position model. The record is from RNAcentral.